UACGGAGGGAGCAAGCGUUACUCGGAAUUACUGGGCGUAAAGGGCGCGUAGGCGAUUUUGUAAGUCUUGUGUGAAAGCCCAAAGCCUAACUUUGGAAGUGCACAAGAUACUGCGAGAAUUGAGUUCCGGAGAGGAAGAUGGAAUUCCCGGUGUAGCGGUGAAAUGCGUAGAGAUCAGGAGGAACACCCAUGGCGAAGGCAGCUCUCUGGUCGACAUCUGACGCUGAGACGCGAAAGCGUGGGGAGCGAACGGG
RNAcentral lists this ribosomal RNA (253 nucleotides) under uncultured bacterium. RNAcentral describes it as "partial 16S ribosomal RNA". It matches the Rfam family "Bacterial small subunit ribosomal RNA", at positions 524 to 776 of the family's 1533-position model. The record is from RNAcentral.